GGAAGCAAAAGUCGUAACAAGGUUUCCGUAGGUGAACCUGCGGAAGGAUCAUUACCAAAAGAUAAUCUUUCAACAUCUGAAAGAUCUUACCUUUGUGCUGGCUUUGACAGUUUUGUACUUUUGGGGCUUUAAAAUGGUUCAGUUAGUAAAAGAAGGGGAGUAAUCCCUUUUUCAUUGCUGCUGGAUCGGCCCCAAAAAAUCAUAUCAUCCUUAUAAUUUUUUCUGAUUAAUUAACACAUGAUUUUAAUAAUCUGUUUAAAACAACUUUCAACAACGGAUCUCUUGGUUCUC
This 291-nucleotide unclassified non-coding RNA is filed under the name plant metagenome. RNAcentral describes it as "partial contains small subunit ribosomal RNA, internal transcribed spacer 1, and 5.8S ribosomal RNA". The stretch from base 1 to 54 matches the Rfam family "Eukaryotic small subunit ribosomal RNA", at positions 1778 to 1831 of the family's 1831-position model. The record is from RNAcentral.